CAUAAAGUUAGCGAAAAUACUACAAAUUAAGAAAAUGAAGCUCAAGUAGAAAAUAACCGACGGAAUUAUGAAAAUCAAAUAAAAGGACCGUGGUUAUUUGAUUUAUCUUGACAACAAAACUGAAAGUCUAUUUUUCACUGCAGUAAAAAGAUCGGCAAACACUUAUCAAUUAGUUAUAGAAAGAGAGGUAAAUAUUGUUAAGACUUACAGUAAUCGUAAAAUUCAAAACUGUGAAUUAUACCUAGUGUGCAAAUUUCAGAGAUACAAAUACUGAAGCUCAUACCCACACAAUAAAGUCAUUGUGGAAGUUAGUCAAGACCGAAGUUGUACAAUAGGUACUAUAAUAUAAAAGUUAAUGAUACCUUUCCGCUAUUAGACCGCCAAUUAAUUACUUAAUUGAAGAAUGGUAGCAAUCAUAUAGCCAAUAAACUUAAAUAUUUUUUGGUUUUUAUAUUAGAUCUAAAGAGUAAUUUUUCUGUAUAAAUCUCAC
Cinara cedri is the source of this 490-nucleotide non-coding RNA. The record is from the annotation of a GenBank genome assembly. NCBI's taxonomy places the organism in Eukaryota, Metazoa, Arthropoda, Insecta, Hemiptera, Aphididae.